CUUGUAGGCGGUUUGUCGCGUCUGCCGUGAAAACUCAGGGCUUAACUCUGGGCGUGCGGUGGGUACGGGCAGGCUAGAGUGUGGUAGGGGAGACUGGAAUUCCUGGUGUAGCGGUGAAAUGCGCAGAUAUCAGGAGGAACACCGAUGGCGAAGGCAGGUCUCUGGGCCAUAACUGACGCUGAGAAGCGAAAGCAUGGGGAGCGAACA
This 207-nucleotide ribosomal RNA is filed under the name uncultured bacterium. Its description in RNAcentral is "partial 16S ribosomal RNA". It matches the Rfam family "Bacterial small subunit ribosomal RNA", at positions 568 to 774 of the family's 1533-position model. The record is from RNAcentral.